RNAcentral lists this ribosomal RNA (460 nucleotides) under uncultured bacterium. RNAcentral's name for it is "partial 16S ribosomal RNA". It matches the Rfam family "Bacterial small subunit ribosomal RNA", at positions 338 to 795 of the family's 1533-position model. The record is from RNAcentral.
CCUACGGGAGACAGCAGUGAGGAAUAUUGGUCAAUGGACGAGAGUCUGAACCAGCCAAGCCGCGUGAAGGAUGACUGCCCUAUGGGUUGUAAACUCCUUUUUUCUGGGACUAAAAUGUUCCACGUGUGGCAUUUUGUAUUUACCAUCUGAUUAACGAUCGGCCAAAUCCGUGCCAGCAGCAGCGGUAAUACGGAGGAGGCGAGCGUUAUCCGGAUUUGUUGGGUUUAAAGGGAGCGUAGGUGGAUUGUUAAGUCAGUUGUGAAAGUCUGCGGCGCAACCGUAGAAUUGCAGUUGAAACUGGCAGUCUUGAGUACAGGAGAGGUGGGCGGAAUUCGUGGUGUAGCGGUGAAAUGCUUAGAUAUCACGAAGAACACCGAUUGCGAAGGCAGCUCACUGGACUGCAACUGACGCUGAGGCUCGAAAGUGUGGGUAGCAAACAGGAUUAGAUACCCGAGUAGUC